AACUGCGAGUGAAGCGGGAAAAGCUCAAAUUUAAAAUCUGGCGGUCUUUGGCCGUCCGAGUUGUAAUUUAGAGAAGCGUCUUCCGCGCUGGACCGUGCACAAGUCUCCUGGAAUGGAGCGUCAUAGAGGGUGAGAAUCCCGUCUUUGGCACGGAUGCCUGGUGCUUCUGUGAUGCGCUCUCGAAGAGUCGAGUUGUUUGGGAAUGCAGCUCAAAAUGGGUGGUGAACUCCAUCUAAAGCUAAAUAUUGGCGAGAGACCGAUAGCGAACAAGUACCGUGAGGGAAAGAUGAAAAGCACUUUGGAAAGAGAGUGAAACAGUACGUGAAAUUGUUGAAAGGGAAACGCUUGAAGUCAGUCGCGUCGACCGAGACUCAGCCUUGCCUUGGCUUGGUGUACUUCUCGGCCUGACGGGUCAGCAUCAAUUUUGCCCCUCAGAUAAUGGCAAGGGAAAGGUGGCACCUUUACGGGUGUGUUAUAGUCUCCUGUCGCAUGUGAGGGGUGAGAUUGAGGAACUCAGCGUGCACCUUGGUGUCGGGGCUUCG
RNAcentral lists this ribosomal RNA (542 nucleotides) under Lactarius reticulisporus. Its description in RNAcentral is "LSU rRNA". It matches the Rfam family "Eukaryotic large subunit ribosomal RNA", at positions 85 to 636 of the family's 3401-position model. The record is from RNAcentral. Lineage: Eukaryota; Fungi; Basidiomycota; Agaricomycetes; Russulales; Russulaceae.